AGAGUUUGAUCCUGGCUCAGGACGAACGCUGGCGGCGUGCUUAACACAUGCAAGUCGAACGGAAAGAGAUGAAAGAGCUUGCUCUUUUAUUAAUUUCAGUGGCAAACGGGUGAGUAACACGUAAACAACCUGCCUUAAGGAUGGGGAUAACAGACGGAAACGACUGCUAAUACCGAAUACGUUCUAAGCAUCGCAUGGUGCAUAGAAGAAAGGGUGGCCUCUACAAGAAAGCUAUCGCCUUAAGAGGGGUUUGCGACUGAUUAGGUAGUUGGUGAGGUAACGGCUCACCAAGCCGACGAUCAGUAGCCGGUCUGAGAGGAUGAACGGCCACACUGGAACUGAGACACGGUCCAGACUCCUACGGGAGGCAGCAGUGGGGAAUCUUCCGCAAUGGACGAAAGUCUGACGGAGCAACGCCGCGUGAACGAAGAAGGUCUUCGGAUUGUAAAGUUCUGUGAUUCGGGACGAAAGGGUUUGUGGUGAAUAAUCAUAGACAUUGACGGUACCGAAAAAGCAAGCCACGGCUAACUACGUGCCAGCAGCCGCGGUAAUACGUAGGUGGCAAGCGUUGUCCGGAAUUAUUGGGCGUAAAGCGCGCGCAGGCGGUUUCUUAAGUCCAUCUUAAAAGCGUGGGGCUCAACCCCAUGAGGGGAUGGAAACUGGGAAGCUGGAGUAUCGGAGAGGAAAGUGGAAUUCCUAGUGUAGCGGUGAAAUGCGUAGAGAUUAGGAAGAACACCGGUGGCGAAGGCGACUUUCUAGACGAAAACUGACGCUGAGGCGCGAAAGCGUGGGGAGCAAACAGGAUUAGAUACCCUGGUAGUCCACGCCGUAAACGAUGGAUACUAGGUGUAGGAGGUAUCGACCCCUCCUGUGCCGGAGUUAACGCAAUAAGUAUCC
RNAcentral lists this ribosomal RNA (897 nucleotides) under human oral metagenome. RNAcentral describes it as "bacterial SSU rRNA". It matches the Rfam family "Bacterial small subunit ribosomal RNA", at positions 8 to 869 of the family's 1533-position model. The record is from RNAcentral.